UACGGGGGGGCAAGCGUUGUUCGGAAUUACUGGGCGUAAAGGGCUCGUAGGCGGCCAACUAAGUCAGACGUGAAAUCCCUCGGCUUAACCGGGGAACUGCGUCUGAUACUGGAUGGCUUGAGAUUGGGAGAGGGAUGCGGAAUUCCAGGUGUAGCGGUGAAAUGCGUAGAUAUCUGGAGGAACACCGGUGGCGAAGGCGACAUCCUGGACCAACACUGACGCUGAGGAGCGAAAGCCAGGGGAGCAAACGGG
This 252-nucleotide ribosomal RNA is filed under the name uncultured bacterium. Its description in RNAcentral is "partial 16S ribosomal RNA". It matches the Rfam family "Bacterial small subunit ribosomal RNA", at positions 524 to 776 of the family's 1533-position model. The record is from RNAcentral.